CCUACGGGUGGCAGCAGUGAGGAAUAUUGGUCAAUGGACGAGAGUCUGAACCAGCCAAGUAGCGUGAAGGAUGACUGCCCUAUGGGUUGUAACCUUCUUUUAUAAAGGAAUAAAAAGAGGCACGUGUUCCUUUUUGCAUGUACUUUAUGAAUAAGGAUCGGCUAACUCCGUGCCAGCAGCCGCGGUACUAAGGAGGAUCCGAGCGUUAUCCGGAUUUAUUGGGUUUAAAGGGCGCGUAGAUGGGUUGUUAAGUCAGUUGUGAAAGUUUGCGGCUCAACCGUAAAAUUGCAAUUGAUACUGGCAGUCUUGAGUACAGUUGAGGUAAGCGGAAUUCGUGGUGUAGCGGUGAAAUGCUUAGAUAUCACGAAGAACCCCGAUUGCGAAGGCAGCUUACUAAACUGUGACUGACAUUGAUGCUCGAAAGUGUGGGUAGCAAACAGGAUUAGAUACCCUUGUAGUC
RNAcentral lists this ribosomal RNA (460 nucleotides) under uncultured bacterium. RNAcentral describes it as "partial 16S ribosomal RNA". It matches the Rfam family "Bacterial small subunit ribosomal RNA", at positions 338 to 795 of the family's 1533-position model. The record is from RNAcentral.